This 447-nucleotide ribosomal RNA is filed under the name uncultured bacterium. RNAcentral describes it as "partial 16S ribosomal RNA". It matches the Rfam family "Bacterial small subunit ribosomal RNA", at positions 338 to 795 of the family's 1533-position model. The record is from RNAcentral.
CCUACGGGUGGCAGCAGUCGAGAAUCAUUCACAAUGGGGGAAACCCUGAUGGUGCGACGCCGCGUGGGGGAAUGAAGGUCUUCGGAUUGUAAACCCCUGUCAUGUGGGAGCAAAUUAAAAAGAUAGUACCACAAGAGGAAGAGACGGCUAACUCUGUGCCAGCAGCCGCGGUAAUACAGAGGUCUCAAGCGUUGUUCGGAAUCACUGGGCGUAAGGCGUGCGUAGGCUGUUUCGUAAGUCGUGUGUGAAAGGCGCGGGCUCAACCCGCGGACGGCACAUGAUACUGCGAGACUAGAGUAAUGGAGGGGGAACCGGAAUUCUCGGUGUAGCAGUGAAAUGCGUAGAUAUCGAGAGGAACACUCGUGGCGAAGGCGGGUUCCUGGACAUUAACUGACGCUGAGGCACGAAGGCCAGGGGAGCGAAAGGGAUUAGAUACCCCGAGUAGUC